UUGCGGUUAAAAAGCUCGUAGUUGGAUUCCUGUAUGGAAAGUGCGUCCCUGCCCUUUGGAUGGGGGCUGCUUCUUUCUUUGCAUCAUCUGGAGUAGAUGUCCUCACUUAACUGUGAGGACAUUCGUACUCUGGGCAUUUACUUUGAGGAAAAGAGAGUGCUCCAAGCAGGCAAACGCCUGAAUACGUUAGCAUGGAAUAAUAGCAUCGGAUCAUCGUACAGCUGUUGGUGUCUGGACGAAGAUAAAGGUGAACAGGGAUAGUUGGGGGCAUUCGGAUUUAACUGUCAGAGGUGAAAUUCUUGGAUUUGUUGAAGACGAGCUACUGCGAAAGCAUUUGCCAAAGAUGCUCUCAUUGAUCAAGAACGAAAGUUAGGUGAUCGAAGACGAUCAGAUACCGUCCUAGUCUUAACCAUAAACUAUGCCAACUGGAGAUGGGGCGUGUUUAUUUUACGACUCUUCCUGCAUCUUGAGAGAAAUCAAAGUCUUUGGGUUCCGGGGGGAGUAUGGUCGCAAGGCUGAAACUUAAAGGAAUUGACGGAAGGGCACCACCAGGAGUGGAGCCUGCGGCU
This 569-nucleotide ribosomal RNA is filed under the name uncultured marine eukaryote. RNAcentral's name for it is "bacterial SSU rRNA". It matches the Rfam family "Eukaryotic small subunit ribosomal RNA", at positions 613 to 1190 of the family's 1831-position model. The record is from RNAcentral.